Drosophila hydei is the source of this 926-nucleotide long non-coding RNA. RefSeq lists it as uncharacterized. Lineage: Eukaryota; Metazoa; Arthropoda; Insecta; Diptera; Drosophilidae. The record is from RefSeq and is a predicted model, not a curated record. The transcript has 5 exons.
CUCGCUGCAGUUAAUAGCGCAAAUAGUCCGCAAAAAAAUAAAACUAAAACUAAAAAAUAAUUUAAAACGUAUCCAGCGCUUGAAUAAAAAUGAAUGAGGCUACGAAUCUGUUUACCACCUUCGGCAUUUUGGCCAUUUUGCUGUUCUUCCUCUGGAUCAUCUAUGCAGUGUUGUAAAUAACACAGACUCCAUGGCUGGGGCAUAGAGCAAAGCAAGCAGCAACAACAACAACAACAACGACAAUAACAAAAUGAAUGAAGCCAGAAGUUUGUUUACCACCUUCAUAAUCCUGGCCUUCUUGCUCUUCUUGCUCUAUGCCUUCUACGAAGCCGCUUUCUAAAUAAUGAUUUGACUCUAAUUCAAGGAUAUAUGCUUACAUGUUGAAUUUUGAAUUCCAAAAACAAUAAUUUAAAAUAUGAAAAAAUAAAUACCAAAUUACAUACGACUAGGAUUUUUUGUAGAGCGUUACGCGCGUUUAAGCCGCUAGCAUUUAAUGGAUUUCUAUUAGUACCCUAAGUCAGAUGACGUCAAAGCUGCAGGCAAUAAGAGCAGCUGCUCGGUUCGAUUGGGGGCUUUGUAUCGCCAGAGGAAAUGUGUGAUCCGUCAUUCGGGCGAUCCAAUUGAAACGUUUGGGACAUUCUCAACUUUUAUAGCCGGCACGGCCUUGGCGUCAUCUGCUCUAAUCAUAAAUAUUAACAGGCAACAUUUUCGUUUCGCAAUGGAAUUUAUUCAAUUAAUAAUUAAUUGACCAUAAUGUACAGUAUAAAUGUGUAUUGCAACAACAACAACACGAACAGCAACAACAACAGCUCAUGGCGCACAUAGGAAAAUUAUGUAUUUCAUUGUUUAACACUUUGCACAUAAUAUGUAAGAUCUUUAUUUAAUUCUAUUUGCAUUUUUUCGUAAAUAACAACAAGACCAACAGC